AAACAAACAGACAGAAAAGCUGUUUCAUUUAUCAGGAAACCAUAACAAACACUUCCUGGAUAGGGAUGGGCACUUACUGAGAUAGAGAAACUUCUGGAAAUGAGGGCAAGGCUGUUUGCAGGUCAGCUGGUGGUGGUGUGCUGCGUACAAGUAUAAAUAAUAGAGGGAAACAUCGAUAGGUCCUUUUCGUGACUGAAGCCUUCUGCUGCAAGAUCAACAAGGUCUGUGGUGGUUCUUCUACGGGAGACACCUUUAAACCUUGAAUGAUCAUCAUCAUGAAGGACGUGGUGGUCAUGUAAAUCCUUGCUGCCAGGGGCGAGGACAUCUGGCCCAGCGCCAUUCAAAGGGGAACCUCAGCAUUUGCAUGAGUUCCUCUUUGUCUUGCGCUGGUGUCCAGAUGCGCAGAGGCCUGACUGCUGCGAAGAUGAUGUUUAAGUUGAACCUUCAAGUCUUGGAAGAUACGAAGAGUCAAGUCUACUAUCAUGAUCACAUCUAAAUAAGCAGAAGUCAGACCGAUGUGAAGCCUGAUGAUUUUUGUUGAAUUCUUAAGUCUAUAAACCUACGAAGUCUCAAUUCUACUAUUAUCACAUCUAUAUACGCAGAGUGAAGUCUACGAAGUCUCAAGUCUACUAAUAUGAACGCAUCUAUAUACGCAGAGUCUAUCAAGUCUACAAAGUCUCAAGUCUACUAUUAUGAUCGCAUCUAUAUACACAGAGCCCAGAACUGGUGUGAAGCCUGACGUUUUUGCCGAAUCCUCAAGUCUAUGAAGCCUACUGUUAUGACCACGUCUCGAUACGCAGAGCCCAGAACUGGUGUGAAGCCUGAUGUUUUUCCGUCGAACCCUCCUCUAUGAAGUCUCAAAUCUACUAUUAUGAUCGCAUCUAUACAAGCAGAACCCAGAACUGGUGUGAAGCCUGACGUUUUUUGCCGAACCCUCAAGUCUAUAAAGCCUACUGUUUAUGACCACGUCUCGAUACGCAAAGCCCAGAACUGGUAUGAAGUCUGAGUUGUUUUUUUUUGUCGAACCCUUGUAUGUGAAAUUUUAAAUCUACUAUUAUGGAUGCAUUUAUACAAUUAGAGUCCUAACUAGUGUGAAGCCGGAUUAUUUUUGUCGGACCCUCAAGUCAACGAAGCAGUAAAGUCUCAAAUUGAUUACCAUGGUUAAAUUCAGAUAGAGAGAAGCCUAUUGUAUGUGCAGUGUCAAAAAUUGAAACGUUUUGGCUUCUGCAAUACUUGGUUUCAGCUGGCUUGGGGCCCAGCUGAGGUAAAAACCCUGUCCCCUUCACCCAAACCUACCAAAAAGACAACAAAAAAAAUGAAUAAACUCUGCAACACAAUUACAAA
Molecule: non-coding RNA, 1344 nt
Organism: Danio rerio (zebrafish)
Lineage: Eukaryota; Metazoa; Chordata; Actinopteri; Cypriniformes; Danionidae
Source: Ensembl